Molecule: ribosomal RNA, 302 nt
Filed under: uncultured Sphingomonas sp.
Lineage: Bacteria; Pseudomonadati; Pseudomonadota; Alphaproteobacteria; Sphingomonadales; Sphingomonadaceae
Description: bacterial SSU rRNA
Rfam family: Bacterial small subunit ribosomal RNA
Source: RNAcentral
GCUAACGCGUGGGAAUCUGCCCUUGGGUUCGGAAUAACAUCGGGAAACUGACGCUAAUACCGGAUGAUGACGAAAGUCCAAAGAUUUAUCGCCCAAGGAUGAGCCCGCGUAGGAUUAGCUAGUUGGUGGGGUAAAGGCCUACCAAGGCGACGAUCCUUAGCUGGUCUGAGAGGAUGAUCAGCCACACUGGGACUGAGACACGGCCCAGACUCCUACGGGAGGCAGCAGUAGGGAAUAUUGGACAAUGGGCGAAAGCUUGAUCCAGCAAUGCCGCGUGAGUGAUGAAGGCCUUAGGGUUGUAA